This 460-nucleotide ribosomal RNA is filed under the name uncultured bacterium. RNAcentral describes it as "partial 16S ribosomal RNA". It matches the Rfam family "Bacterial small subunit ribosomal RNA", at positions 338 to 795 of the family's 1533-position model. The record is from RNAcentral.
CCUACGGGUGGCAGCAGUGAGGAAUAUUGGUCAAUGGACGAGAGUCUGAACCAGCCAAGUAGCGUGAAGGAUGACUGCCCUACGGGUUGUAAACUUCUUUUAUAAGGGAAUAAAGUGAUCCACGUGUGGGAUUUUGUAUGUACCUUAUGAAUAAGGAUCGGCUAACUCCGUGCCAGCAGCCGCGGUAAUACGGAGGAUCCGAGCGUUAUCCGGAUUUAUUGGGUUUAAAGGGAGCGUAGGUGGAUUGUUAAGUCAGUUGUGAAAGUUUGCGGCUCAACCGUAAAAUUGCAGUUGAUACUGGCAGUCUGGAGUACAGUAGAGGUAGGCGGAAUUCGUGGUGUAGCGGUGAAAUGCUUAGAUAUCACGAAGAACUCCGAUUGCGAAGGCAGCUUACUGGACUGCAACUGACACUGAUGCUCGAAAGUGUGGGUAUCAAACAGGAUUAGAUACCCGGGUAGUC